RNAcentral lists this long non-coding RNA (1362 nucleotides) under Scleropages formosus (Asian bonytongue). Its description in RNAcentral is "lncRNA (ENSSFOG00015030711.1)". Lineage: Eukaryota; Metazoa; Chordata; Actinopteri; Osteoglossiformes; Osteoglossidae. The record is from RNAcentral.
GUACAGCCGGGCUCAUUGAAAAUGCCUGUUUUAGUGUCUUAAUCUUCUUGCCUCUCCUACCCUCAGUGCCUGCAAAGCCGCCAUACCUGCAGAACGCGGUGACGGAUCCGCGGCCAGCGUCUUUACGUACGGGACCAUUCAGAUCCAGGAUGGAGGAAGUAGGAAGAGGAAAGUUGAAGGAGAAACCUUCCAAGGUGUCAACCCUCAUCAGUCAGUUUGAGGAGAACAGCUGCAGCAAGACGAGAAGGGACGGCCCGCUGCUCAAGCAGGCCCUCAGAGUGUCCUCCGGCAGCAGUCUGCCGUGCAAGGGCCCCCAGAGGCCGAGGGAGCCUCCGCCGCCCUCAGCGGCGCCGACCACGGAGACGGGUUCCGAAACGGAUGCCCCAAAAGAUGACCUUCAGCAAGCCCCCAACGGAGCGCUAGUUCCGAUGGAGCCCUCGGAAGGCCGGUCGGAGGACGCCCCCGCUCCGGAGGAACGCGGCGCCCCGCAGGCAGAUGCCGUCCUCGUGAACGGAGACGCCGGGGACGAGUCUUCGGACGGCCAGUCUGACACGGACAGGACCGACUCCGAGUCGAAGGGCCUUCCUCGGGAGCGAGGAGGACGAGAGGAGGACAGCAGCUCUCCUCAGGAGGAAGAGAAAGCGGAACCAAAGGUGAGCGGGGGACCAAGGGAAAGGGUGGCUCAACGGCGAAGGGAAGCAGAGGGACGCGUCUUUGCGCUCUGCACACCCUCUCCUAUCGGCACACACUGCUGCAUGAUUAUAAAUGCCGUUACUUCGUUUUGGUACGAGCUUCAAAUCACGGGGAGCGGAACUGAUCAGAGUACUUACCCUGAAUUGCUCCAGUAAAAAUUACCAAGAUAUAUAAAUGGGUCAAUAACUGUAAGUACCUGAAUAUUAUAAACCGUUUUGGAGAGAAAGUUUGAUAAAUGUAAAGAUGUCGUCUCCAGAUAACGGUUGGCACGCUGUAAAUAUUUUAAGGUAAUGACUUUGCACGAACUGUCUUGAUCUGGGAGAGUUUUAAUUACCAUGAAAUACUCUUUGUAUUCCUGAUGUUGCAAAGCAUGUGCUGGUACUGUAGUGGUUAAAGCUGUCGCCUUUGGACCCAAAGGUCACAGGUUUGAAUCCCACCUCCAAGUGUAAUACCCUUGAGCAAGGUACUUACCCUGAAUUGCUCCAGUAAAAUUACCCAGCUGCAUUAAUGGGUAAAUUUAAGCUGCUUUGGAGAACGGUAUCAGAUAAAUUUUAAAUUGUAUCCCCCCCCCCUCAUAUUGCACAAUAUAAACAUGUUGGGCUCUGACUUACCCUGCUUUACACAACAACAUGUUUAUAUUUUUGUUAGGUGUUGCUUAAACCAAAAAAA